Molecule: ribosomal RNA, 465 nt
Filed under: Vreelandella stevensii
Lineage: Bacteria; Pseudomonadati; Pseudomonadota; Gammaproteobacteria; Oceanospirillales; Halomonadaceae
Description: partial 16S ribosomal RNA
Rfam family: Bacterial small subunit ribosomal RNA
Source: RNAcentral
CCUACGGGCGGCAGCAGUGGGGAAUAUUGGACAAUGGGCGAAAGCCUGAUCCAGCCAUGCCGCGUGUGUGAAGAAGGCCUUCGGGUUGUAAAGCACUUUCAGUGGGGAAGAAAGCCUUGGGGCUAAUACCCUCGAGGAAGGACAUCACCCACAGAAGAAGCACCGGCUAACUCCGUGCCAGCAGCCGCGGUAAUACGGAGGGUGCGAGCGUUAAUCGGAAUUACUGGGCGUAAAGCGCGCGCAGGCGGUCUGAUAAGCCGGUUGUGAAAGCCCCGGGCUCAACCUGGGAACGGCAUCCGGGACUGUCAGGCUAGAGUGCAGGAGAGGAGGGUAGAAUUCCCGGUGUAGCGGUGAAAUGCGUAGAGAUCGGGAGGAAUACCAGUGGCGAAGGCGGCCUUCUGGACUGACACUGACGCUGAGGUGCGAAAGCGUGGGUAGCAAACAGGAUUAGAUACCCCUGUAGUC